GAAAAAAAAAAAAAAAAAAAAAAAAAAAAAAAAAAAAAAAAAA
RNAcentral lists this non-coding RNA (43 nucleotides) under Alexandrium minutum. The record is from RNAcentral. Lineage: Eukaryota; Dinophyceae; Gonyaulacales; Pyrocystaceae.